UAAGGGGGUUAUACUGCGGGUGAUCCACCUGAUCCCAUUCCGAACUCAGAAGUGAAAUCCCUUUAGGCCGAUGGUAGCAGAUUUUUCUGCAAGAGUAGGUGACUCCCUUAC
RNAcentral lists this ribosomal RNA (111 nucleotides) under Candidatus Berkelbacteria bacterium. The record is from RNAcentral. Lineage: Bacteria; Candidatus Berkelbacteria.